GAUGAACGCUGGCGGCGUGCCUAAUACAUGCAAGUCGAGCGAACAGACGAGGAGCUUGCUCCUCUGACGUUAGCGGCGGACGGGUGAGUAACACGUGGAUAACCUACCUAUAAGACUGGGAUAACUUCGGGAAACCGGAGCUAAUACCGGAUAAUAUAUUGAACCGCAUGGUUCAAUAGUGAAAGACGGUUUUGCUGUCACUUAUAGAUGGAUCCGCGCCGCAUUAGCUAGUUGGUAAGGUAACGGCUUACCAAGGCAACGAUGCGUAGCCGACCUGAGAGGGUGAUCGGCCACACUGGAGCUGAGACACGGUCCAGACUCCUACGGGAGGCAGCAGUAGCGAAUCUUCCGCAAUGGGCGAAAGCCUGACGGAGCAACGCCGCGUGAGUGAUGAAGGUCUUCGGAUCGUAAAACUCUGUUAUUAGGGAAGAACAAAUGUGUAAGUAACUAUGCACGUCUUGACGGUACCUAAUCAGAAAGCCACGGCUAACUACGUG
This 497-nucleotide ribosomal RNA is filed under the name uncultured bacterium. Its description in RNAcentral is "partial 16S ribosomal RNA". It matches the Rfam family "Bacterial small subunit ribosomal RNA", at positions 28 to 507 of the family's 1533-position model. The record is from RNAcentral.